UACGAAGGGGGCUAGCGUUGCUCGGAAUCACUGGGCGUAAAGGGCGCGUAGGCGGACAUUCAAGUCGGGGGUGAAAGCCUGUGGCUCAACCACAGAAUUGCCUUCGAUACUGUUUGGCUUGAGUAUGGUAGAGGUUGGUGGAACUGCGAGUGUAGAGGUGAAAUUCGUAGAUAUUCGCAAGAACACCGGUGGCGAAGGCGGCCAACUGGACCAUUACUGACGCUGAGGCGCGAAAGCGUGGGGAGCAAACAGG
This 253-nucleotide ribosomal RNA is filed under the name uncultured bacterium. RNAcentral's name for it is "partial 16S ribosomal RNA". It matches the Rfam family "Bacterial small subunit ribosomal RNA", at positions 524 to 776 of the family's 1533-position model. The record is from RNAcentral.